AACAUCGCCCUUUGAAAACAUAAUUAUAAAGGGUACUGCCUGCCCAGUGAUAAAAAUUAAACGGCCGCGGUACUUUGACCGUGCAAAGGUAGCAUAAUCAUUUGUUCUUUAAUUGAGGACCAGUAUGAAAGGCAAAACGAAAGCUAAACUGUCUCCUUUUUAAAAAAAGAAAUUAGUAUUUUUGUGAAGAAACAAAAAUGAUAAAGUAAGACGAGAAGACCCUGUCGAGCUUAAGAAAAUUUUUAUAAUAAAUUUUAAAAAGAUAACAAAAUUAUACUACAAAAAUAAAAUAAAAAUAUCUUUGGUUGGGGCAACCACGAAGAAAAAAAAACCUUUGUUUAAAAAAAGAAAUUUACAAAUUUAAAAAUUACCAAAAAUUUAAAAGAUCCAGAAAAUUCUGAUCAAAGAAAAAAGUUACCGCAGGGAUAACAGCGUUAUUCUCUUUAAGAGCUCUUAUUGACAAGAGAGUUUGCGACCUCGAUGUUGGACCGGGGCACCCAAGAGGUGUAGCAGCCUCUAAAGGUAGGUCUGUUCGACCUUUAAAGCCCUACGUGAU
This 556-nucleotide ribosomal RNA is filed under the name Dichrometra flagellata. RNAcentral describes it as "partial large subunit ribosomal RNA". It matches the Rfam family "Bacterial large subunit ribosomal RNA", at positions 1812 to 2604 of the family's 2925-position model. The record is from RNAcentral. Lineage: Eukaryota; Metazoa; Echinodermata; Crinoidea; Comatulida; Mariametridae.